GAUGAACGCUGGCGGCGUGCCUAAUACAUGCAAGUCGAGCGAACAGAUGAGGAGCUUGCUCCUCUGACGUUAGCGGCGGACGGGUGAGUAACACGUGGAUAACCUACCUAUAAGACUGGGAUAACUUCGGGAAACCGGAGCUAAUACCGGAUAAUAUAUUGAACCGCAUGGUUCAAUAGUGAAAGACGGUUUUGCUGUCACUUAUAGAGGGAUCCGCGCCGCAUUAGCUAGUUGGUAAGUUAACGGCUUACAAAGGCAACGAUGCGUAAACGACGUGCGGGGGUGGUAGGCCACCCUGGAUCGGAACCACGGUCCAGACUACUACGGGAGGGAGCAGAAGGGUAUCUUCCGCAGUGGGAGAAAGCCUGGCGGAGAACCGCCGAGUGAGUGAUAGAGGUCUUGGGAUCGUAAAACUAUGUUAUUAGGGAAGAACAAUUGUGUAAGUAACUAUGCACGUAUUGACGGUACCUAAUCAGAAAGCCACGGCUAACUACGUG
This 497-nucleotide ribosomal RNA is filed under the name uncultured bacterium. Its description in RNAcentral is "partial 16S ribosomal RNA". It matches the Rfam family "Bacterial small subunit ribosomal RNA", at positions 28 to 507 of the family's 1533-position model. The record is from RNAcentral.